CACGUAGUUAGCCGUGGCUUUCUGGUUAGAUACCGUCACACGCAUAGCAGUUACUCUAUGCGCUGUUCUUCUCUAACAACAGAGCUUUACGAUCCGAAGACCUUCUUCACUCACGCGGCGUUGCUCCGUCAGACUUGCGUCCAUUGCGGAAGAUUCCCUACUGCUGCCUCCCGUAGGAGUUUGGGCCGUGUCUCAGUCCCAAUGUGGCCGAUCACCCUCUCAGGUCGGCUAUGCAUCAUCGCCUUGGUAGGCCGUUACCCUACCAACUAGCUAAUGCACCGCGGGUCCAUCUCUUAGCGAUAGCUUGCGCCACCUUUCCUCACAGAAUCAUGUGAUUCUAUGUCCUAUGCGGUAUUAGCAGUCGUUUCCGACUGUUAUCCCCCACUAUGAGGUAGGUUACCCAGUGUUACUCACCCGUUCGCCACUCACCUUGACCAAGUGCAGGCACUCAGUCGCGGUUCGUCGACUUGCA
This 472-nucleotide ribosomal RNA is filed under the name uncultured Abiotrophia sp. RNAcentral describes it as "partial 16S ribosomal RNA". The record is from RNAcentral. Lineage: Bacteria; Bacillati; Bacillota; Bacilli; Lactobacillales; Aerococcaceae.